RNAcentral lists this ribosomal RNA (504 nucleotides) under uncultured bacterium. RNAcentral's name for it is "partial 16S ribosomal RNA". It matches the Rfam family "Bacterial small subunit ribosomal RNA", at positions 30 to 523 of the family's 1533-position model. The record is from RNAcentral.
AUUGAACGCUGGCGGCAUGCCUUACACAUGCAAGUCGAACGGCAGCACAGGGAGCUUGCUCCUGGGUGGCGAGUGGCGAACGGGUGAGUAAUGUAUCGGAACGUGCUCAGUAGUGGGGGAUAACUACUCGAAAGAGUGGCUAAUACCGCAUGAGAUCUCUGGAUGAAAGUGGGGGACCGCAAGUCCUCACGCUCCUGGAGCGGCCGAUAUCAGAUUAGUUUGUUGGUGGGGUAAAGGCCUACCAAGCCUGCGAUCUGUAGCUGGUCUGAGAGGACGACCAGCCACACUGGGAGUGAGACACGGCCCAGACUCCUACGGGAGGCAGCAGUGGGGAAUUUUGGACAAUGGGCGCAAGCCUGAUCCAGCAAUGCCGCGUGCAGGAUGAAGGCCUUCGGGUUGUAAACUGCUUUUGUACGGAACGAAAAGGCUCUGGUUAAUACCUGGGGUCCAUGACGGUACCGUAAGAAUAAGCACCGGCUAACUACGUGCCAGCCGCCGCCGUAA